RNAcentral lists this long non-coding RNA (455 nucleotides) under Marmota monax (woodchuck). Lineage: Eukaryota; Metazoa; Chordata; Mammalia; Rodentia; Sciuridae. The record is from RNAcentral.
UUUCACACAAGUCAUUCACAGAUGCCUCAAUGAAUGGACUUUAUUGCAGAGGGGACAUGUCCUCCAAGAGUUAAAACGAGGUUGUGCUAGGAAUUCCAUGAAGUCACUGGAAUCUGAACCGAGGAGUGCCAUUCGGUAAUGAUGCCACCUGCAUUUCCUGUUGUAAUUUCUGACAAGGCAUCUGAGUUUUCUGGCAAGCAGGAUGCACAUCAGGGUGCACCAGGGGCAGGUCGUGGUAACUUCCGCCCUAGAGCACAUGCAGGGCUUCCUGUUUUGGUCUGAUAGCUUCCCCUGGGCUUUGUAGAUGCAACAUUACCCACACAUUGAUGGGUUGCCCAUGCAAAAGAGUAGGUGUCUUAUUUUUGGAAAGGUUUGUUUCACAUAAUUUUUGUUGUUUAUCCUCAUACCCUAUUUCUUUUUAUAUUUCACGCUAGCAUUAUAAAUGUCAUUUCUCC